GUGCUCUCUUUGGCAGCACAUAUACUAAAAUUGAGACAAUGCAGAGAUUAGCAUGGCCCCUGUGUAAGGAUGACACAUAAAUUUGUGAAGUGUUCUCUAUUUUU
Pipistrellus kuhlii (Kuhl's pipistrelle) is the source of this 104-nucleotide small nuclear RNA. The record is from RefSeq and is a predicted model, not a curated record. Lineage: Eukaryota; Metazoa; Chordata; Mammalia; Chiroptera; Vespertilionidae.